CAGCGCCACAAGUGGGGAUCCUGUUUAUUUGGCCUAAAGCGUCCGUAGCUGGUUCAGUAAAUCUUUUGUGAAAUCGUUAAGCUUAACUUAACGGCGUGCAGGAGAGACUGCUAAGCUAGGGACCGGGAGGAGUCAGAGGUAUGCCGGGGGGAGCGGUAAAAUGCUAUAAUCCCUAGUGGACCACCUAUGGCGAAGGCAUCUGACUAGAACGGGUCCGACAGUGAGGGACGAAAGCCAGGGGAGCAAACCGGAUUAGAUACCCGAGUAGUCC
Molecule: ribosomal RNA, 271 nt
Filed under: uncultured archaeon
Lineage: Archaea
Description: partial 16S ribosomal RNA
Rfam family: Archaeal small subunit ribosomal RNA
Source: RNAcentral